RNAcentral lists this ribosomal RNA (192 nucleotides) under uncultured Azoarcus sp. Its description in RNAcentral is "partial 16S ribosomal RNA". It matches the Rfam family "Bacterial small subunit ribosomal RNA", at positions 340 to 524 of the family's 1533-position model. Lineage: Bacteria; Pseudomonadati; Pseudomonadota; Betaproteobacteria; Rhodocyclales; Zoogloeaceae. The record is from RNAcentral.
UACGGGAGGCAGCAGUGGGGAAUUUUGGACAAUGGGGGCAAUCCUGAUCCAGCCAUGCCGCGUGAGUGAAGAAGGCCUUCGGGUUGUAAAGCUCUUUCAGUUGGGAAGAAACGGGGUUCUCUAAUACAGGGCUCUAAUGACGGUACCGACAGAAGAAGCACCGGCUAACUACGUGCCAGCAGCCGCGGUAAU